RNAcentral lists this ribosomal RNA (428 nucleotides) under uncultured cyanobacterium. RNAcentral's name for it is "bacterial SSU rRNA". It matches the Rfam family "Bacterial small subunit ribosomal RNA", at positions 355 to 795 of the family's 1533-position model. Lineage: Bacteria; Bacillati; Cyanobacteriota. The record is from RNAcentral.
UGGGGAAUUUUCCGCAAUGGGCGCAAGCCUGACGGAGCAAUACCGCGUGAGGGAUGAAGGCUUUUGGGUUGUAAACCUCUUUUCUCAAGGAAGAAGUACUGACGGUACUUGAGGAAUCAGCAUCGGCUAACUCCGUGCCAGCAGCCGCGGUAAUACGGAGGAUGCAAGCGUUAUCCGGAAUUAUUGGGCGUAAAGCGUCCGCAGGUGGUGCAUCAAGUCUGCUGUCAAAGACCAGGGCUUAACCCCGGGAAGGCAGUGGAAACUGGUGGACUAGAGUACGGUAGGGGUAGAGGGAAUUCCCAGUGUAGCGGUGAAAUGCGUAGAGAUUGGGAAGAACACCAGUGGCGAAGGCGCUCUANCUGGACCCUGUACUGACACUUCAGGGACGAAAGCUAGGGGAGCGAAAGGGAUUAGAUACCCCUGUAGUC